UUGAUUACCCCUGACCAUGUGGGGAUGUUCCGUGAGGCAUACGGUGGUAUUCUGAAGUUGGUUUUCAGGCUCACAGACAGUGAUAGGAGCGAUUACCCCUGACCAUGUGGGGAUGUUCCGUGAGGCAUACGGUGGUAUUCUGAAGUUGGUUUUCAGGCUCACAGACAGUGAUAGGAGCGCCAUUCAUACUCUUCUCCAGUUUUAUGACCCUGGUUUGAGGUGUUUCGUGUUCCCGGAUUACUUGUUGGGACCCUUGAUGGAGGAUUAUGCUAGCAUCUUGGGUAUUCAGAUCCGAGAUCAGAUUCCUUUCUUUGCCACUAAGGCUGAGCCUGUUGUUG
This 338-nucleotide long non-coding RNA is filed under the name Lathyrus oleraceus (garden pea). Its description in RNAcentral is "Pisum sativum (pea) long non-coding RNA (PSAT_LNC033965)". Lineage: Eukaryota; Viridiplantae; Streptophyta; Magnoliopsida; Fabales; Fabaceae. The record is from RNAcentral.